This 815-nucleotide long non-coding RNA is filed under the name Sus scrofa (pig). RNAcentral's name for it is "lncRNA (ENSSSCG00055007181.1)". The record is from RNAcentral. Lineage: Eukaryota; Metazoa; Chordata; Mammalia; Artiodactyla; Suidae.
AUCUGGCAACGAGGCUGCGAGGAAAUCUUAAUGAUAUUGGACAUAUUGUUUUCCCCGGUGUACAAGGUAGAGUUGAAAGAUGCAAGUGGUGUUUCUGAUCACUUUCCUUUUGGUCUCAGCUCACUGCACACCAUGGAAACCACCGAUCAACAGAGCGACUACCAGAGCCCCCAUGCUGCCGUCACCACCGAGAACAGAAAUUGCUCCUCCUCUGACUCCGAGGCCCCCAGGCCCUUUCACCCCAGACAGACGGGGAGACACGUGAUUCAUGAAGUUCUGCAGGGAUUUCAGAGCGAAAGGCAGCUUCUUCCCCCGCAUCCACACCACAGCUGACGAUCCAACACAGCAGCUCUCUGCUCCGUGUCCCACAAGGGACCCUCUUCUGUAUCCUGGCUAAAAUGGCACUUCAUUAAAAAUGUUUCUGUCACUACGAUAUUCCCAAAUGGAAUGAUAUUUCCCAUCAUUAUCAGCCUUUAAAGAGAGAUGGGGAAAACGAGCAAAGGAAUCGAGGGAACAGGAUCUCUUUUUUCCUGGGAAGCCCUAGGUGUAGCUAAAAAUCAAGAGGUUCUAUGACAAAGGAAGAGGGCAAGAGGAUACUGGGGUGGUGGUGGGUGACAGGACUGUCUCCAGGUGACAUCCAAGCCCUUGAGAGACCACUGGGAUGUUUCCAGCAAGAGGAGAUGGUAUUCUGACCCUUUUAACUGGGACAGAAAUUUGAUGAAGCUCAGGGGAAAUGCACCUAAAAUUUCCCCUUGUCUUAUUUGGGAGGCAGAGUUAGCAGUUUCUCCCUAAUCACAGAUGUGCAAAGAAAAGGG